GGCUCAUGAUCAACACCCAUAAUCUACACCAGUUUUAGUAUCCAAAACGGAUAUCUGCGUUAAUUUUGGAGGUAAUUCGUGCACCAACGUGCUGCUAGCAAUAGUGGCACGCACUUUAUUAGAUCAAGGCCGAUUGGGGCAACCCUUUUGGUGACUCUCAAUAAUUUUGCGGAUCGUAUGGCCUUGUACCCACGACGGACUGGUCGAGUGGGUGCCCUAUCAACUAUUGAUGGAAGUCUAUGUGUCUUCCACGGGUGUAACAGGUAACGGAGAAUAAGGGUUCGACUCCGGAGAGAUAGCCCUAGAAACGGCUAUCACAUCCAAGGAAGGCAGCAGGCGCGUAAAUUACCCACUCUCAAUUCGAGGAGGUACAGACUAUCAAUAACGAGACAGAUCUCUUUGACGUCUGUCAGUGCAAGGAGCACAACUAAAAGACUUUAACGAAGUCUAUGGGAGGGCAAGUCUGGUGCCAG
Molecule: ribosomal RNA, 473 nt
Filed under: Nematoda environmental sample
Lineage: Eukaryota; Metazoa; Nematoda
Description: SSU rRNA
Rfam family: Eukaryotic small subunit ribosomal RNA
Source: RNAcentral